Molecule: long non-coding RNA, 3740 nt
Filed under: Anas platyrhynchos platyrhynchos (common mallard)
Lineage: Eukaryota; Metazoa; Chordata; Aves; Anseriformes; Anatidae
Description: lncRNA (ENSAPLG00000022140.1)
Source: RNAcentral
AUGUUAGCCAAGUACCAGAAAUUUCAAACUCCAUUUAAGCUAAUUAAGCAGUCAGCAGACCGCCAACAUAUAACUGGUUGGAGAAGGAAGGGCACAGUGCAAAAUGCAACACACCUGGUGCAGAUACCCCGAGCUGAAAGCCGUGGAGAAUUUGGUGCUUCAGAUCCUGCCCCUCUGCUCUCCCACAAGCUGCCAGCAACCAGGGAAGGCUCUGUCCAGGCCUUAGAAAGGAGAAAUCUUGGAAGACGCACUGGUUUUAUAUUGAUUUUACUUCUGAGUAGGGACCUUCAGACUGAAGGUCCUGUUCAUGCUGGAACAGAAAUUCAGCAUCCAGGCGAAAGCAAGAUUUUAAGCACAGCUCCAGGGUUCUCACCCAGUUCUUAGGAAAAUCAGCAUAAAGUUCUCAAAGACCCUCAAGAUCAGGGACUUCAGUUUUUCGGUGCAUCUGCAGGGUGGCUUCCAACACAGCCUGGUGCCCACAGGUGCCAGUUCAAGCGUUGGCCCAACACAAAGGGCAAGGUGCUCACGUCUGAAUCCCUGCUCCUGCCUCCUGAAACAGCCAGGGUUCAUGGCAGCCUGGCCCCACUCUGUGCCAGGCUCUGACCCAAUCUCCACAGGAAAGCAGCAGAAACAAUUGGAUUUUUCCUGUCACCAUCAGUGCAAAGAAAGUGGCGUUUGUGCAAGUCCUGGUGGAUUGAUGAAUGCUGUCUGAAGCGCAGCACGCAGCAGUGCAAUUCGUCAUAACUGAGGUUAAUGAACGAGAAUGUUAAAUAGCCCGUGACUGUACAUCUGACAUAAUUUGCUAAAUUAACUGAAAAUCAACCACCAUUGUACUCCUAGCUUCUCACUUAACUAUCAUUAACCCCAGUCGCCAACUGCGGUGUGGUGACACCAGCAACCUGGAGGAAGAAUCAGGCAGCUCUCAGCAUGGCUCGCGCCUGGCUGCAGCACGGCCUGGCUGCAGGUUUCCCAUCCUGUGGCAGCUGGAAACCUGCUAAAUCAGUGUACAGACUGUGCUGUCAUGCACCUCUGCUUCAGCUCUUGCCUUUGGAACUAGGCUGGCACCACUGCCCAGCAGAGAUCAAUUCAAAAACACGAGGAGUGCAUUUGGUGCUUGACUACAAAGUGACACCUGUGCUGGCGACCAAAUGAAGCUGCAGCUGAUAGGUGGGAAUGGCAGGCAUUUAAGCUUUUAAUAGCUUCAAAUAACUUCCUACUUAAUUCCUAUUUACAGCAUAACCACUGCAGGAAAUCAAGUGAUUUAAGAGCAAAAAUAGAUCCUAAUUUCUACCAGUACCUUCUUGACUUGCUGGAAAGAAAGACGCACGUUAGAGGCUGGUUUCUUUUCCAAAGGCUACUGUUCUUUGAAGGGAUGCCCCAGCUCUUCCUGUUGGGCCCUACCAUAAUUGCCAGUUUUGAGAAGUUUUUCUUCUUCCAGAAGUAAAAUACAACAUUAAAGUUUUCAGGAGCAGUUUCCUCAGUCUGUGGUGACAGUGUGGUCUCUCCUGCCCUUUGGAAGCUUGCCAUCAAUGCUUUAAUCCCUAGCAAGAGUUUUAUCUUAAGCAGAUACCGUAAAGGAUCUGAGAAGUAGGUCAGGAGACAUUAAAAAGUAUUUGAUUCAUCGUGAAGCGUGGGCACAGCGCUGUUUUAAGCCCAAAAUGUCAUGACUCAGCUGCUCCUUUGCAUUUUGUUUUAGAACAGUCAGAUGAAAGGACUGAUGGGUGAGGGAGGGGCGCUGCGAGGGGCCCUGCGAUCCAUCGCCCAUCGCAGUAACUGCUCCCCAGCCACAGCCCCUGCCCGGCAUCGCUCAGCUCUGGAGGUUGGCACUGCCCCUGCUGCCCCGUUACAGAGCCCGUGGCACCAAUUCCCGGUGUGCUGAGAGCUCUGGCUGCCCCUCAGCCGUCUCGCACCCCAGUGCAAGCUUUUUAUGUAUUUUCUUAAGUAUAGGCGGUAUUUUUUUGCUCCUCUCAAAGUGCUUUCCCUUCCUGUGUCUGUCCAGGGUGUAGAGUUUUCAUUUCUUUUAAUGAUUCUCAAGAAAUUAUUGAGAAAUCAAAGUAUCUUUCAGAGUUAUCUUCAAUGCUCAGUGUAGUUCAAAUGGUUUCUAUAAAUCCACAGUGGAAAUGCUAUUUUUCAAAGCUUUACUGUUCCCUAAAUGAUUGUAAUGGUGUGUUGACUGACUUUACUAGGGCCCUGGGAGUUUACAGAAGAAAAAACAGCUUAGUAAGCUGGAGCACUUAAAAUAUGUAUAUGAAAGUUUUCAAAGUUCAUCUAAUCCAUCUCUGUUUUGGAUAUUUAUAAACCAGACUCCGUCAUUAAGGCCAACAGCACUUUUCCACGCCCAGGAACACUGCGGCUAUGGCCCAGCUGGAGCUCUGCCUGCCAUGCCCAAGUGAGCUCUGGGGGUUUCCCUGUGAGCUGAGAGCCCAAGCACAACGCCAGCUGCACACCAUGCUGCCAGGAACAAGUGCUCUGCCAUCCCACACUAGCUGGAUGCUUUCAGGUAACAAGUUAUCUCCCAGCUCAAGGACCUCAAAUCUUGAACUUCUCUGUAGUUUUCCUACAGCAUUGCAUCAUUUUUAUGGUGUUUUGCCCUUUCCCCUUGUGCCCGCUCUUUGCUAGAGAGUCGUUGGGAUGUUUUAUGGCCUGUGCGUGCUGACAAUGAAUGUCCUCCAGUCUCUGGGCUAAGCAUCUGAAACACAUCUGUCCGUGGUGCAGGCUUCUGACUCAGUGUCCUUGCUCUAUGUUGCUGCACCUGGCAUCGCUCAUGGGGCACGUGGAGGGAAGCCGCAUCUUCUCCUGUCGCCACGUGCAGUUUGCAGGGUGAGCAGUGGGGGCUCUGCAGAAGGGGGGGAGCAUGCCCUAACCUGGACCCCGAUGCCCCAUAGGCUUGUGGAGAUGAGAGGUGCAUCCAGUGGGGUGAUGGAGCGCCAGGGUUUCUUUAGGAGUUAAGCAAAGGCACCUAACUUCAUGUGAGAGAUUGACUCGCUGAAACUUGCCAGACUUGAAGAGAAAAAAGUGCUAUCAACCUGUCUUUUGUUACAGCUAUUCUUUUCAUUGAUAAUCCAGUAAAACUGUUCUUUAUGGGAGACAGUGAAAUCCUAAAAGCAGCCUUGAUGGCAGAGGAUAUUACCCAUUAAGGGCAGCAGAUUGUAAUUUGCUAUUCAGAAAGCUGAUUCAAUUGAAAUUCUUUUUAUAUUUCUACAAAGAACUGAAUGCCAGAAGACAGAAAUUCUUUCUUUUGAUAGAAAACAGAAGACAUAAUUGGUGCUUUUAGCACGUCUUCCUCAUACCUUAUACCAGACCCUAUUACAGAUACACUUCUAUAUAAGUCUGAGUCCUCCUUGUGUGAGAUGGCAGCACAGCCAGCCCGGCCCGGCCACGUGUAUUUGCUUUGCACAGGCAAACAGCUGGGUUGCAUUUUGAGCAUUCCCUGUGUCAGGCCCCACAACGGGCAUGGCCGUGGGGCGAGCCCUAGAGCAGGAGCAGGGGGCAGGAAGGCCCCAAGGGGUGCCCGUGCUGGAGGGGCACUGAGCAGCGAGCAGGGGCAGGCAGCCCGCAGGGAGGUGAUCCUCCGAUUCUCUAAACACUGCUGGGGAUGGGGCAGAGAGGGAGUGCAGAGUGGAGAGCAAGCGAGUGUUCAUCACGUGCGCCAUGGUCCCAUGGCCCCUUAUUGCUGAUUCCCCUUGAAGUCAAUGCACCUGGCAAAUAAAAAGCUGCAGGGUUUAUUCCUCUUUUGGUAC